AACUAAUCACCACGAUUACAUCUAUUCCUACUAAAGGCAUAUGGUAGCUACACAUAUGAAAAUAAGCAUGCAUCAUAAUAGAUCAAAGUAAGCACAAGAUUAUAUUGAUAUCACCAUCUUGUGUACAUAAGCCGUGAUGACCACAAGGCUUGGCUCUAGAACUCCACCAUAGCUUCGCCACGCAGGGACGACCAUGGCGGCUAGGGUCUAGCCUAAACCAUCUCCUAGACAACCUCGAAGACUUGCAACAGCCCUCAGCUCCCUUUGGUGUGUGUCCCUCUAUUCGUUGACUUCUGGUGGAUUGAUAUGUGUGCUCGAUGAAAUAUCAAAGUAUUUAUAGUAUGGAGAUCAUGUGGUAGAAAUUGGAAGGUGAGAGGAGCAAGGAAAGCCCCGGGCUGAUCGGCCUUGGGGGCGAGGGGUCCAGGCCGAUUGGCCUGAUCCUUCCUUAUGGCCUCUCGCGCCCUCCUUCAUCCCCAAGUCUUCUUAGGUGUCCUGAAAUCUUAUUUUUGUAUGCAUGUGGGCCUGGUACGUCGAUAGCUUCGGGAUGAGAUUGAUCUUUGAUAACUUUCUAAAUCUCUGCUUGAUCUUCUUUGAUUCCUCUUUGAUCUCGAAGUGAUACUUGCCAUAUCUUCACAAUCUUAGCCCUUAAGUAAUCUUGGAGGAGUGCUUGCCAAAAAUGAGCGUCGGACGAGGCCAGAAAACCCCUGGCCGAUCGGCUUGGGCUUCACCAGGCCGAUCAGCCUAGGCUCUUUCUGAGCCUGCUAGCCUUCAUCUUUGAUAGGUUCGUUGCUCAUUCGGGGCUUUAUCGAAAAAUAUACUUUUAGGUUCAAUUUCCUACAAAAAUAGAAUGUCCACCAAAAUACCAUGUAUAUGCAAAGACGGGGUUAUUUCAGGUGCCAAGCGGCGGGUUAGUAUAAGAAUAUGUAUGAAAACACCACUUAAAUGGCACUAAAAGUGUGUCAAUAACGAGUGUCAACAACAUUAUAUAUGAAUAUUCCUAAGAAAUUCUAUUUCUAAAAUGACACUCGAUCAUCGAUCAGUCGUAUUCGGGGUCAUUUAUGGGAAUUUUUGUUAGAAAUGGCUUCAAGUCAAGGUGAGGAAGGAAUAGAGGUGGGUGGUCCUUAUGGUCCUAUAGAAAUAUGCAAGUCAAAUUAUUAUCUCGGUAAAUUUUAUUAUCUGUGAUAAAUAGGGCAAAAGUAUGAUCAAGGGGUGGAUGUGAGGACUUGCCUUCAUUAACAAUCUUUAAUUCGUCUCCUAGGUUGACCGGGGUCUUGACUUCUUUGUCUUCUAGAUCUUCAGCUUCUUGUUAGAGCUUGAUCAGGCUAACACGUCUGCUCGUUUUCUGGACGGAUGGUCCUUCGGCUUCAAACCUUCUGGAUCCUUGACUUCCAACCGAAUUUUGAUUGUAUCCCCGGUUCACACAAACAUACAAAUAUACAAUCAAUUCUAGCAAUCAAUAUACGACUAAAGAAAAUGAGAAGGAAUGGGUGAUGGAUGCUUUGGGAAUUAUCGGAUUUCUAGGUGAUAUUCCUGGGAUAAUCGAUGGAUAUUUUAUUAAUUAUUUAGAAAUAUUUCCAAAUAAUUAAUGGAGAGGAUUACUAGAUUUCUAAGAGAGUUCUUAAGAAUUUAAGAAUGGAUUUCCUAUGAUUUGGUUGGGCGGCAUAACAGCUAGAUUUGUUGAUAUCUAGGGUUCCAAUUGGACGGUAUAUCGGCUAAAUUGGGUAGUAGAUGUAUGUGGUUUGAAUUGAGUCAGCACAACGGCUGGGUUUUGGAGUGGAUCCUUAAAUAUGAUUCUGGUGCUAGGCGGUGUGAAGGGAUUCCAAGGCUAGGAAACUUGUACGUCAAGCUUGGCUUCGACCCUACGGCGGGUGGAGCUAGCCAACUUUCCUUAUCUAGGGGUGGAACUUGAGAGCUUGGGCGACAGUUGGCCUGUCCUGGUUCUAGGGGUAGUACACAUGGCAAUAGACGCAGUCGGGCAAGAUUAGGUGGAAGCCAAAGAUCUCGUAUGACAGACACCACUUGUCCCGGUGCUAGGGGAUAGCACACAUGGCAACAGAUGGGUCCGGUACAAGAUCAGGCAAAAUGGAGGUUAGAGCUUGUUCGGCGACUCACUUCGGCCUCUAGGGCGAAGCCUGGACUAGAUGACGGAUGGAAAUAGGUUUGGAUGGCCAUAAGGUAUUUUAGGAAUUUUCCUAGGGUUUUUGAAGUGAAAUAUAUGAGAAUGUGAUUUCUGGCAUACACUAUAAAGGGUUUUUCUAUAAUGCGAGAGGAGGGUAUUUUGAAAAAGGGAUCAUAUGGAAUGAUCUAUGAAAAAUGAAGGCAUGAGUUGGCUUAGAAUAUUUUGUAGUAGUUUUGGACAAAUUUUGGGAAUUUUUGGAAGGUGGCUUUAGCAAUAUCCCAGGGGCUAACGCAUGGAAUAAUUUCCUCUGUGGGCCAGCCCGAUUUGGCGGUUGGCCCAUGCGCGCCAGGGAGGUGGGGUUGACGGUUCGGACGGUGCUGCCGUCACCCCUGGACGGGGCCCACCUGUCGGCCGAAGAGAGGAGAAAGAGGGGCCGGACGGAACGGCGCCGGGGGUAACGGCACCCCGGCUUCUUCUACCUCUCACCCAGGCCGCCAUGGGUGAAAGAGGAGGCGGCUCUGAAGCUUGGGGAAGGGGGGGUGCUCUGGGCCCCUAGGAGCCAGGCCGAGGGAACGGAAAGGAAGAGGAGGAUGCGGGCAGUCCGUUCUGGUGGCUGGACAGAAGAGAGGGAGAAGGGAAGGGGAGCGGCCAUGGGAGGCCGGAGCUUCAAGCUCUUAGAGCUCGGUUUGAGCUCGAAUUCUAGGACAGGGAGGAGGAAAAAGGGCUGUGGUGUGCCGAUCUAAGGGAUUAGGGGCGCUAUUUAUAGGUGGAUGGGAGCCGGGUGGGGUGGACGUGUGGCCGUGCUCGCGUGAGCUCGGUUCAAGGCACCGUCGGCGAAGAUAAGGACGACGGGGGGGAUUGGGAAGGGGAGGGCGACCAUGUC
RNAcentral lists this long non-coding RNA (3002 nucleotides) under Setaria italica (foxtail millet). Its description in RNAcentral is "long non-coding RNA (SITA_LNC005307)". The record is from RNAcentral. Lineage: Eukaryota; Viridiplantae; Streptophyta; Magnoliopsida; Poales; Poaceae.